GGCUGGGUAGCUCAGCUGGUUAGAGCGCGCGACUCAUAAUCGCGAGGUCGGGAGUUCAAGUCUCCCCCCCGCCA
RNAcentral lists this transfer RNA (74 nucleotides) under Pontivivens insulae. It matches the Rfam family "tRNA". From Rfam's summary of the family: Transfer RNA (tRNA) molecules are approximately 80 nucleotides in length. Their secondary structure includes four short double-helical elements and three loops (D, anti-codon, and T loops). Further hydrogen bonds mediate the characteristic L-shaped molecular structure. tRNAs have two regions of fundamental functional importance: the anti-codon, which is responsible for specific mRNA codon recognition, and the 3' end, to which the tRNAs corresponding amino acid is attached (by aminoacyl-tRNA synthetases). tRNAs cope with the degeneracy of the genetic code in two manners: having more than one tRNA (with a specific anti-codon) for a particular amino acid; and 'wobble' base-pairing, i.e. permitting non-standard base-pairing at the 3rd anti-codon position. Lineage: Bacteria; Pseudomonadati; Pseudomonadota; Alphaproteobacteria; Rhodobacterales; Paracoccaceae. The record is from Rfam by way of RNAcentral. RNAcentral also lists the same sequence under 2 other names.